CGAGGAUAACAAUUGGGAAACGACUGCUAAGACUGGAUAGGAAGAAAUAAGGCAUCUUAUUUCUUUUAAAAGACCUAGUAAUAGGUAUACUUUAGGAGGGGCUUGCGCCAUAUUAGUUAGUUGGUAGGGUAAUGGCCUACCAAGACGAUGAUGUGUAGCUGGACUGAGAGGUUGAACAGCCACAUUGGGACUGAGACACGGCCCAAACUCCUACGGGAGGCAGCAGUAAGGAAUUUUCGGCAAUGGAGGAAACUCUGACCGAGCAACGCCGCGUGAACGACGAAGUACUUUGGUAUGUAAAGUUCUUUUAUCAAGGAAGAAAAGCAAGUGGCGAACCAUUUGUUUGCCGGUACUUGAUGAAUAAGCCCCGGCUAAUUAUGUGCCAGCAGCCGCGGUAAGACAUAAGGGGCAAGUGUUAUCCGGAAUUAUUGGGCGUAAAGGGUGCGUAGGCGGUCUAGUAAGUCAGUGGUGUAAUGGCAACGCUCAACGUUGUCCGGCUAUUGAAACUGCUAAACUUGAGUUAGAUAGAGGCGAGUGGAAUUCCAUGUGUAGCGGUAAAAUGCGUAAAUAUAUGGAGGAACACCAGAGGCGUAGGCGGCUCGCUGGGUCUUAACUGACGCUGAGGCACGAAAGCGUGGGGAGCAAACAGGAUUAGAUACCCUGGUAGUCCACGCCGUAAACGAUGAGUACUAAGUGUCGGGUUAAACCGGUACUGAAGUUAACACAUUAAGUACUCCGCCUGAGUAGUACGUACGCAAGUAUGAAACUUAAAGGAAUUGACGGGACUCCGCACAAGCGGUGGAUCAUGUUGUUUAAUUCGAAGAUACCCGAAAAACCUUACCAGGUCUUGACAUGUUUUUGCGAAACGGUAGUAAUAUCGUAGAGGUUAUCAGAAACACAGGUGGUGCAUGGUUGUCGUCAGCUCGUGUCGUGAGAUGUUAGGUUAAGUCCUAAAACGAGCGAAACCCUUAUCGUUAGUUGCCAGCACGUUAUGGUGGGGACUUUAACGAGACUGCCAGUGAUAAACUGGAGGAAGGUGAGGAUCACGUCAAAUCAGCAUGCCCCUUAUGACCUGGGCUACAAACGUGAUACAAUGGCUGUUACAAAGGGUAGCUGAAACGUAAGUUCUUGGCCAAUCCCCAAAAACAGUCUCAGUCCGGAUUGAAGUCUGCAACUCGACUUCAUGAAGUUGGAAUCGCUAGUAAUCGCGAAUCAGCAUGUCGCGGUGAAUACGUUCUCGGGGUUGUACACACCGCCCGUCAAACCACGAAAGU
RNAcentral lists this ribosomal RNA (1274 nucleotides) under Candidatus Phytoplasma citri. RNAcentral describes it as "bacterial SSU rRNA". It matches the Rfam family "Bacterial small subunit ribosomal RNA", at positions 138 to 1411 of the family's 1533-position model. The record is from RNAcentral. Lineage: Bacteria; Bacillati; Mycoplasmatota; Mollicutes; Acholeplasmatales; Acholeplasmataceae.